Molecule: ribosomal RNA, 497 nt
Filed under: uncultured bacterium
Lineage: Bacteria
Description: partial 16S ribosomal RNA
Rfam family: Bacterial small subunit ribosomal RNA
Source: RNAcentral
GAUGAACGCUGGCGGCGUGCCUAAUACAUGCAAGUCGAGCGAACAGACGAGGAGCUUGCUCCCCUGACGUUAGCGGCGGACGGGUGAGUAACACGUGGAUAACCUACCUAUAAGACUGGGAUAACUUCGGGAAACCGGAGCUAAUACCGGAUAAUAUAUUGAACCGCAUGGUUCAAUAGUGAAAGACGGUUUUGCUGUCACUUAUAGAUGGAUCCGCGCCGCAUUAGCUAGUUGGUAAGGUAACGGCUUACCAAGGCAACGAUGCGUAGCCGACCUGAGAGGGUGUUCGGCCACACUGGAACUGAGACACGGUCCAGACUCCUACGGGAGGCAGCAGUAGGGAAUCUUCCGCAAUGGGCGAAAGCCUGACGGAGCAACGCCGCGUGAGUGAUGAAGGUCUUCGGAUCGUAAAACUCUGUUAUUAGGGAAGAACAAAUGUGUAAGUAACUAUGCACGUCUUGACGGUACCUAAUCAGAAAGCCACGGCUAACUACGUG